AAGGGUAUCAUCAGCAGUACUGAUAUGAUUUAUAACAAUUAAACCUUUCUCCAAAUUUAAAAUGCACAUGCAUUGGAUAAGGGACCGUUCAAUAUUUAUCAGAAGGAUGGGACGCUGGUGCAUUCUUUAUUUAAUAUUGUUGCAUUAAAAAACUUGAUGCCAUACAUCCUUUUAAAUUCUGCAAAAGGGUGCUUGUUCCUCUAAAACAUAGACAACAAAUAAUCAUGAUAAUGAUAUAGGUUAUUUUUCUAUUUUUUUAUUGCCUGC
This 267-nucleotide long non-coding RNA is filed under the name Mytilus galloprovincialis (Mediterranean mussel). The record is from RNAcentral. Lineage: Eukaryota; Metazoa; Mollusca; Bivalvia; Mytilida; Mytilidae.